Molecule: transfer RNA, 92 nt
Filed under: TM7 phylum sp. oral taxon 346
Lineage: Bacteria; Candidatus Saccharimonadota
Also listed under: 4 other names
Description: tRNA-Ser
Rfam family: tRNA
About the family: Transfer RNA (tRNA) molecules are approximately 80 nucleotides in length. Their secondary structure includes four short double-helical elements and three loops (D, anti-codon, and T loops). Further hydrogen bonds mediate the characteristic L-shaped molecular structure. tRNAs have two regions of fundamental functional importance: the anti-codon, which is responsible for specific mRNA codon recognition, and the 3' end, to which the tRNAs corresponding amino acid is attached (by aminoacyl-tRNA synthetases). tRNAs cope with the degeneracy of the genetic code in two manners: having more than one tRNA (with a specific anti-codon) for a particular amino acid; and 'wobble' base-pairing, i.e. permitting non-standard base-pairing at the 3rd anti-codon position.
Source: RNAcentral
GGAGGGGUGUCCGAGUGGUUGAAGGAGCACGCUUGGAAAGCGUGUAUAGGCAGUGAUGUUUAUCUGGGGUUCGAAUCCCCAUCCCUCCGCCA